This 528-nucleotide ribosomal RNA is filed under the name uncultured bacterium. RNAcentral describes it as "bacterial SSU rRNA". It matches the Rfam family "Bacterial small subunit ribosomal RNA", at positions 1 to 530 of the family's 1533-position model. The record is from RNAcentral.
UAGAGUUUGAUCAUGGCUCAGGACGAACGCUGGCGGCAUGCCUUACACAUGCAAGUCGAACGGCAGCACGGGGGCAACCCUGGUGGCGAGUGGCGAACGGGUGAGUAAUACAUCGGAACGUGUCCUGUAGUGGGGGAUAGCCCGGCGAAAGCCGGAUUAAUACCGCAUACGACCUAAGGGAGAAAGCGGGGGAUCUUCGGACCUCGCGCUAUAGGGGCGGCCGAUGGCAGAUUAGCUAGUUGGUGGGGUAAAGGCCUACCAAGGCGACGAUCUGUAGCUGGUCUGAGAGGACGACCAGCCACACUGGGACUGAGACACGGCCCAGACUCCUACGGGAGGCAGCAGUGGGGAAUUUUGGACAAUGGGGGAAACCCUGAUCCAGCAAUGCCGCGUGUGUGAAGAAGGCCUUCGGGUUGUAAAGCACUUUUGUCCGGAAAGAAAACCUCUUGGAUAAUACCUGAGGGGGAUGACGGUACCGGAAGAAUAAGCACCGGCUAACUACGUGCCAGCAGCCGCGGUAAAUCGCCC